CGUUGUACAUUUUCCAUGGGCAAGUGAUUUAUUCUGACGAAAGCAUGCGUCCAUGAUUGAUUUUUUGAAAGAAAAACAAAAACUGCGUGUACAAAAGUAUAUGGUUUUUUAAAUUAGUUUUUAAAUUUAUCCAAAUACCAUGGCGAAAAAACCUGCUCUUGUUCGGACUAUUACCAAAUUUUUCGCGCCAGAAAUUUCACAAAACUACGCAUUAUUUUUAUGAGUAACUUUUAGUACGUACAACAAAAUAUUUAGCGUUAUAAUUUAAAAUAUACACGAGGAUAUUUGGAUUGCAGAGGGCGGUGGAAUUGCCCAAAGCCCAUUCCAGCCCAAGCUGAGCUGACAAACAAGCAGCCCCCCCACCGGCCCACCCCCAAUACUACCCAGAAGGCCAGAACCCAGAAGGGGAAAGCAGCGGUCGUCUUUUGCUCAAAAAAAAAAAAAAGCAGCGGUCGUCUCCUUCCUCGAAAAUUUUGAAUUCCUGAAACGGCAAGAACUCCAUGCCACGGCGACGAAUCUCUCUGUAAGUUCGAUCCCUUCCCCUUUGAUCCACUCUCCGUUUGCAUUCCUCCUCCACGGAUUAUCCUGCGAAGUCCUUACGAAGUUGCUGCUGGUGUUCCUGAACCUCUAUGCAGGCCACCUGCUCGACGGAAUGCGUCGGACAACUACCAAGCACGCGGGGCCGCGCCUCCGCGCCGGCCAGGCGUCCCAGUCCGGCGCCGGGGCAUCUGCCGAACUCGACCGCCUCAGCUCGCUCCCUGACGCGCUCCUGCACCACAUCAUGUCGUCGCUGAAGGCAUGGGACGUGGUGCGCACCUGCGUGCUCGCUCGGCGGUGGCAGCACCUCUGGGCGUCCGCGCCCUGCAUUGACCUCCGCGUGUGCUACUCCCGCCGAGGUAACAACUAGCCAGAAGAGUUCUGCGACUUCGUGCACCACCUCUUCCUCUCCCGCGAUGCGUCGGCACCGGUGGACACGCUAAUCCUGCGGUCGAGCGACGAGGACGCGGAAUACGAUGAGGCCGAUGCCAAAAGGUGGAUCAGCGCUGCUAUCAAGCACAAUGCGCGGGUUAUUCAUCUUGCCGGACAUUGCAGGGAGAUUGCGUUGUUGGAUGGUGUGCGCUUUGUCUCUCGCCACCUCAAGAUCUUGAAGUUGUGUAUGCCUGUCUCAGAGCCGGGAUCCUGCAGCAGCUUUCGUCUAAUUGCACAUCUAUGGAAGAACUGGAUCUGAAGGAUUGCUUGGUGGCAGGUCCUGAGAUUGUGUCUGCCUCUUUGAAGACUUUAAUCUUGCUCAAAUGCACGAUCAAUUGUGACUUAUCCAUUGCUGCUCCGAACCUCAUACUUCUGCGCCUCACUACACCUUACAUCAGAGUUCCAUCUUUUGAGAACUUAGGAUCACUUGUCACAGCCACCAUCAUACUUGAUGACUCUUUCUUGGGUAAUGAUUAUGAACAUAUCAGUGAUGAAAAUGAUUUUGAUGGAACUACUGAUGAUGAUGACGACGACAAUGAUGAUGAUAACGAUGAUGCCAGUUAUAAGGUUCAUGAUGACUCUUCCUUGAGUGAUGAUGAUUUUAGAUACAUCAGUGAUGAUGGUAUUGAUAAGUUUGCAUAUGGACAUGGCUUCCCUAUACAUGGAUCUGGGCGUGGUGGUUACAAGGAUAAUUACAAUUAUGGUAGUGAUAUCGAUAGCGAUGACAAUACCUAUGAAUACAGUGAGAUUGCAAAUGAUCCAAAGUAUGGCUACAAAGGUGAAGGUCAGAAUUCCAGUAAAGGUGGCAACUAUGGUAAAAGCAGUGGAUUUAAUGAUAGGGAGAUUUUAGGAGGCAACCAUAUUCUUCACAGCCUUUCAAGUGCUAGAAGUUUGGAGUUUUUAACUGAUGCUGGAGAGGUAUGGCUAUCACCGCCUUUUGCUGGUCUCUCUUACUUUGAGUAUGUAUAUUUUCCUUGAAAUAGCCAUAACUGCUUUACAGAACCGCUUCUUUCCGGUGUUUGCCAAAAUAAUGUGCAUCCCCCCAAACAGAAAACAGAUGUCCAAUGGGCACAUUUCUUACAUUUUGCUCUGAAGUAACAACACCUGGAUAGAGAAGUACAAUUGACUUACAAAAGAGUCCAAAUCAAGAUAGUAGUGCUAGUUUUAGUUCAGCGUGAAAUAUAGUAGUAUGUGAAUCAAUGGGGUAUUGAAGAGUGUAGCUUUGUGAAAGCAUUAGUCAUCUAAUAUUUGGAUGAUUGUCAUUUUUUUACAGUAGCAAUGGUGUCUUUUCUAAUGGUUACUGCUUACAUCGCUGUAGAAUUAACUAUACCGAGUCUUUACACCAGUCUAAGGCAAUGUCCCUAUACAUUACCAUAGAAGAAAGACGAAUGAUAUUGUACAUAUAGGCACUACUCUUCUGGCAAUACACCAGUAUAUGUUGUUUUCCUUUACUUGUUUGGCGUGGAUAUGCUUGUUUUCUUACCUGUAUGUUAAAUAAACCACCUGUAUGCAGCUGUAUCCAUAAUUUGAAGUUGAUUGAACUUACUAUUGUUCUCUGCUGAGCACUCAUUUGAUGUGCAAUGUGUAGGUGGUUUUGAGUAGGGAAUUGAAAACAUGUCCAACUUUUAGCAACCUGAAGACCCUGUCCCUUGGUGAAUGGUGUAUGGCUGCUGAUUUCAAUGCACUGAUUUUCUUGCUGCAACAUUCACCCAAAAUAGAGAGGCUUUUUCUCCAACUUAAAUUGGUAUGUGUAAUUACAUUUUGGUGUAUGCCACUUCUAUUCUUUUAGUUUUGAGUAUCUGGGCACAUGCUUACAAACAAUUUUAUUCUUUCACAAAAGAACUACGGCACCAGCAAGGCACUGGAAACAGGUAUCAAACUGCAGGAAAGAUCAUUUACUUGCAGUGACCUUCGAAUGGUGAAGAUCAAAUGCUCAAAGGAUGAUGCGAGAGUCCAUAAGUUGGCACAUUUGUUCAGGGCGAAUGGUUUACCCCUUGAGAAAAUUUAUGUCCGUCGGUCUGGGAAUGCUCAUAAGCCAUACAUUCUCUUCGUUUAGCAUUUCAUUUACUUGCUAUAUCUACAUCAGUGAACUGGUUUAUAUCUUCCUAUGCUAUCUGGUGAGUGAUGACAGACGUAAGACUCAUAUCAUAUAAUGUGUUUGAUAUCUUGUCACUUGUUAAAUGAAGUAUUUUAAGUUAUUCAGUUAGCUUAAAGUUCUUCCAUGCAUGCUCCUGGUCCUAAUCUACAGUUCUACACACUCAUCCAUUCCCUGAUAUUUCUACCAGAUCUCCGUGGCCAGAAGUUUAUGAGAGAGCUCGCUAGGCAAGAACUUGAGGACGACUGGAUGUAACAUCCAACUAUCUAGCUUUCAUUUGCUUCUAGUAGAUAUCAAAAGGCGAGGAUCUGGUAAGAAACCAUGAUCUCCACGAAGUACUGAUCGUACCUUGUAAGCUUUUCUCCUUUUGCUUUUGGGUAAAAUGGAUGAUGGAACUGUGUGUGGCUAUCAAAUCGCAGGAAAGUUCUUCAUAGUGGAAUGUGUUGAGACUUUAAACUAGCGGUAUAUCUGAACUGAAUAUGAUUAAUCAUUCAGCAUCCCUUUCCUUCUCCGGAUUUCUUAUGCAUGUUCUUAACUAGCAGUCGAGGGCAUGGACAGACUGCAUCGCCAAAGGGCUUUGGAACAGCUUGUCACGGUGUUUCUUACUCUUUUACACGAUACGUAGAGUUACAUAUCUUGACACCAAAUCCACGAUGGAUGUCCACACAAAGAAUUAAAGAACUGUUAAAAAAUUGAAUCUAAUCUUGCAUCCAACUUUUGGAUAAUUUCGCUAAGAAAAGUCGGAAUUUUCAUUACUCUGCCCUAUUCGUUGGAGUCAAAAUAAGACACGGUAGCACGGCUAACAUUUCUAAAAACCGUAUAUUCGCUGCAGCCUUUAUUUUAACGGGCAGAUUGCAACAAAAAAAGGUACCCGUUCCGUAAUUGUAGCUUCAGUAAAUUUCUACAUUUUGCUUUAUUAUUUUCCAACUCAAAUACUGUAAUAAAAAUUCGGGAAGGCCCAUUCGAGCCCAAAAUGAUCUGACAAGCAACCGCCCCGUAACCUAGCAGGCAAACCGGCGCUCGCCUCCUUCGUCAAUUUUUUUUUUUGGAUUUCUGAGAAGGGGCAACAAAUUCCACGACAUUGCGAGUUUGCGACGAAUCAUCCGGUAAGUUCGAUCGAUUCCUCCCUCUGAUCGACUCUCCUCCACGGAUUUUCUCGAGAAAUCUUGACUAGUUCCCCCUGCGGUGUUCUGAAACCUCUACGCAGGCCGUCUGCUCGACGAAAUGCGCCGGACAAGCACCAAGCACGCGAGGCCGCGCCUCCGCGCCGGCCAGGCGUCCCGCUCCGGCGACCCCGACCGCCUCAGCGCCCUCCCGGACGCGCUCCUGCACCACGUCAUGUCGUUCCUCAAGGCUUGGGACGUGGUGCGCACCUGCGUGCUCGCGCGGCGGUGGAGGCACCUCUGGGCGUCCGGGCCCUGCGUCGACCUCCGCACGCGCUACCGGUACUCCCGCCGAGCCCACGACCCGCCGAGGGAGUUCCGCGACUUCGUGUACCGCUUCUUCCUCUUCCGCGACGUGUCUUCCCGUGGAGACGCUCCGCCUGCGGUCCAGUGACGAGGACGUGGGCUUCGACGAUGACCAUGCCAGCACGUGGAUCAACGUUGCAAUCAAGCGCAAUGCGCGGGUUAUUCAUCUUGCCGGACAUCGCAGGGAGAUGGCGUCGUUGGAGCGUGUUUCCUUCGUCGCCGCCUCCAGAUCUUGAAGUUGUCGUAUGCCAGUCUCGAUGCCAGGAUCCUGCUGCAGCUUUCCUCUAGUUGCACAUCUUUGGAAGAACUGGAUCUGAAAGAUUGCUUUGUGGCGGGCGGUGAGAUUGUGUCUGCCUCUUUGAAGACUUUAAUCUUGCUCAAAUGCAAGAUCAAUUGUGACUUCUCGAUUGCUGCUCCGAACCUCAUACUUCUGUGCGUCACUACACCUUAUGUCCGAGUUCCAUCAUUUCAGAACUUGGGGUCACUUGUCACGGGCACCAUCAUACUUGAUGACUCUUUCUUGGGCUAUGAUUAUGAACACAUCAGUGAUAAAGAUGAUUGUGAUGGAACUACUGAUGACAGA
RNAcentral lists this long non-coding RNA (5116 nucleotides) under Brachypodium distachyon (stiff brome). Its description in RNAcentral is "long non-coding RNA (BDIS_LNC000259)". Lineage: Eukaryota; Viridiplantae; Streptophyta; Magnoliopsida; Poales; Poaceae. The record is from RNAcentral.